UACGUAGGUGGCGAGCGUUGUCCGGAUUUACUGGGCGUAAAGGGAGCGUAGGCGGACUUUUAAGUGAGAUGUGAAAUACUCGGGCUCAACUUGAGUGCUGCAUUUGAAACUGUUAUUCUAGAGUAUGGGAGAGGUAGGUGGAAUUCUUGGUGUAGGGGUAAAAUCCGUAGAGAUCAAGAGGAAUACUCAUUGCGAAGGCGACCUGCUAGAACAUAACUGACGCUGAUGCGCGAAAGCGUGGGGAGCAAACAGG
RNAcentral lists this ribosomal RNA (253 nucleotides) under uncultured bacterium. Its description in RNAcentral is "partial 16S ribosomal RNA". It matches the Rfam family "Bacterial small subunit ribosomal RNA", at positions 524 to 776 of the family's 1533-position model. The record is from RNAcentral.